This 434-nucleotide ribosomal RNA is filed under the name uncultured Lachnospiraceae bacterium. RNAcentral describes it as "partial 16S ribosomal RNA". It matches the Rfam family "Bacterial small subunit ribosomal RNA", at positions 341 to 792 of the family's 1533-position model. Lineage: Bacteria; Bacillati; Bacillota; Clostridia; Lachnospirales; Lachnospiraceae. The record is from RNAcentral.
ACGGAAGGCAGCAGUGGGGAAUAUUGCACAAUGGGGGAAACCCUGAUGCAGCGACGCCGCGUGAGUGAAGAAGUUAUUCGUAAUGUAAAGCUCUAUCAGCAGGGAAGAAAAUGACGGUACCUGACUAAGAAGCCCCGGCUAACUACGUGCCAGCAGCCGCGGUAAUACGUAGGGGGCAAGCGUUAUCCGGAUUUACUGGGUGUAAAGGGAGCGUAGACGGUCUGGCAAGUCUGAUGUGAAAGGCAGGGGCUCAACUCCUGGACUGCAUUGGAAACUGUCAGUCUUGAGUGCCGGAGAGGUAAGCGGAAUUCCUAGUGUAGCGGUGAAAUGCGUAGAUAUUAGGAGGAACACCAGUGGCGAAGGCGGCUUACUGGACGGUAACUGACGUUGAGGCUCGAAAGCGUGGGGAGCGAACAGGAUUAGAUACCCUGGUA